RNAcentral lists this ribosomal RNA (253 nucleotides) under uncultured bacterium. RNAcentral describes it as "partial 16S ribosomal RNA". It matches the Rfam family "Bacterial small subunit ribosomal RNA", at positions 524 to 776 of the family's 1533-position model. The record is from RNAcentral.
UACGGGGGAGCAAGCGUUGUUCGGAUUUACUGGGCGUAAAGGGCGCGUAGGCGGCGUGACAAGUCACUUGUGAAAUCUCCGGGCUUAACUCGGAACGGUCAAGUGAUACUGUCGUGCUAGAGUACAGAAGGGGCAACUGGAAUUCUCGGUGUAGCGGUGAAAUGCGUAGAUAUCGAGAGGAACACCGUGCGGCGAAGGCGGGUUGCUGGGCUGAUACUGACGCUGAGGCGCGAAAGCCAGGGGAGCGAACGGG